GCCCUCAUAGCUCAAUUGGUAGAGCAACUGAUUUGUAAUCAGUAGAUAACUCCAAAUCAGUUAAAAACA
This 69-nucleotide transfer RNA is filed under the name Aurantimonas sp. RNAcentral describes it as "tRNA-Thr". It matches the Rfam family "tRNA". Rfam says of the family: Transfer RNA (tRNA) molecules are approximately 80 nucleotides in length. The record is from RNAcentral. Lineage: Bacteria; Pseudomonadati; Pseudomonadota; Alphaproteobacteria; Hyphomicrobiales; Aurantimonadaceae.